AACGAACGCUGGCGGCAUGCCUAACACAUGCAAGUCGAACGAGACCUUCGUGUCUAGUGGCGCACGGGUGCGUACCGCGUGGGAACCUGCACUUAGGUUCGGAAUAACUCCCCGAAAGGGGUGCUAAUACCGGAUAAUGUCUUCGGACCAAAGAUUUAUCGCUUUUGGAUGGGCCCGCGUUGGAUUCGCUGGUUGGUAGGGUAAAAGCCUACCAAGGCGACGAUCCAUAGCUGGUCUGAGAGGAUGAUCAGCCACACUGGGACUGAGACACGGCCCAGAACCCUACGGGAGGCAGCAGUGGGGAACAUUGGACAAUGGGCGAAAGCCUGAUCCAGCAAUGCCGGGGGAGUGAUGAAGGCCUUAGGGUUGUAAAGCUCUUUUACCCGGGAUGAUAAUGACAGUACCGGGAGAAUAAGCGCCGGCUAACUCCGUG
Molecule: ribosomal RNA, 433 nt
Filed under: uncultured bacterium
Lineage: Bacteria
Description: partial 16S ribosomal RNA
Rfam family: Bacterial small subunit ribosomal RNA
Source: RNAcentral